This 325-nucleotide ribosomal RNA is filed under the name uncultured eukaryote. Its description in RNAcentral is "partial 18S ribosomal RNA". It matches the Rfam family "Eukaryotic small subunit ribosomal RNA", at positions 1470 to 1796 of the family's 1831-position model. The record is from RNAcentral.
CCCUUAGAUGUUCUGGGCCGCACGCGCGCUACACUGAUGCAUUCAACGAGUCCAACCUUGACCGAGAGGUCCGGGUAAUCUUUGAAACUGCAUCGUGAUGGGGCUAGAUUAUUGCAAUUAUUAAUCUUCAACGAGGAAUGCCUAGUAAGCGUGAUUCAUCAAAUCGCGUUGAUUACGUCCCUGCCCUUUGUACACACCGCCCGUCGCUCCUACCGAUUGAGUGGUCCGGUGAGGCUUUGGGAUCUGAGCGGAAAGAGCGUUUCGCUGUUUCUGCUCGGAAAACUCAGUCGAACCUUAUCAUUUAGAGGAAGGAGAAGUCGUAACA